UACGUAGGGUGCAAGCGUUUGUCCGGAAUUAUUGGGCGUAAAGAGCUUGUAGGCGGUUUGUCGCGUCUGCUGUGAAAAUCCGGGGCUCAACCCCGGACUUGCAGUGGGUACGGGCAGACUAGAGUGGCGGUAGGGGAGAUUGGAAUUCCUGGUGUAGCGGUGGAAUGCGCAGAUAUCAGGAGGAACACCAGAGGCGAAGGCGGCGACCUGGACAAGCACUGACACUCAACUACGAAAGCGUGGGGAGCAAACAGG
This 255-nucleotide ribosomal RNA is filed under the name uncultured bacterium. Its description in RNAcentral is "partial 16S ribosomal RNA". It matches the Rfam family "Bacterial small subunit ribosomal RNA", at positions 524 to 776 of the family's 1533-position model. The record is from RNAcentral.